Molecule: ribosomal RNA, 362 nt
Filed under: Polaromonas sp.
Lineage: Bacteria; Pseudomonadati; Pseudomonadota; Betaproteobacteria; Burkholderiales; Comamonadaceae
Description: partial 23S ribosomal RNA
Rfam family: Bacterial large subunit ribosomal RNA
Source: RNAcentral
CUGUUCGCCAUUUAAAGAGGUACGUGAGCUGGGUUUAAAACGUCGUGAGACAGUUUGGUCCCUAUCUUCCGUGGGCGCUGCAGAUUUGAGGAAGCCUGCUCCUAGUACGAGAGGACCGGAGUGGACGAACCUCUGGUGUACCGGUUGUCACGCCAGUGGCAUUGCCGGGUAGCUAAGUUCGGAAGAGAUAACCGCUGAAAGCAUCUAAGCGGGAAACUCGUUUCAAGAUGAGAUCUGCCGGGGCCUUGAGCCCCCUAAAGAGUCGUUCAAGACCAGGACGUUGAUAGGUCAGGUGUGGAAGCGCAGUAAUGCGUUAAGCUAACUGAUACUAAUUGCUCGUGCGACUUGACCCUAUAACUUUG